GCCGGGAUGGCGGAACUGGUAGACGCGCCGGACUCAAAAUCCGGUGGGGUAACACCCGUGUCGGUUCGACUCCGACUCUCGGCACCA
This 87-nucleotide transfer RNA is filed under the name Gammaproteobacteria bacterium. RNAcentral describes it as "tRNA-Leu". It matches the Rfam family "tRNA". Rfam says of the family: Transfer RNA (tRNA) molecules are approximately 80 nucleotides in length. Their secondary structure includes four short double-helical elements and three loops (D, anti-codon, and T loops). Further hydrogen bonds mediate the characteristic L-shaped molecular structure. tRNAs have two regions of fundamental functional importance: the anti-codon, which is responsible for specific mRNA codon recognition, and the 3' end, to which the tRNAs corresponding amino acid is attached (by aminoacyl-tRNA synthetases). tRNAs cope with the degeneracy of the genetic code in two manners: having more than one tRNA (with a specific anti-codon) for a particular amino acid; and 'wobble' base-pairing, i.e. permitting non-standard base-pairing at the 3rd anti-codon position. The record is from RNAcentral. Lineage: Bacteria; Pseudomonadati; Pseudomonadota; Gammaproteobacteria.